CCUACGGGGGGCUGCAGUAGGGAAUAUUGCUCAAUGGGGGAAACCCUGAAGCAGCAACGCCGCGUGGAGGAUGAAGGUUUUCGGAUUGUAAACUCCUUUUGUUAGAGAAGAUAAUGACGGUAUGUAACGAAUAAGCACCGUCUAACUCCGUGCCAGCAGCCUCGGUAAUACGGAGGGUGCAAGCGUUAUUCGGAAUAACUGGGCGUAAAGAGCGCGUAGGCGGGAUAGCAAGUCAGAUGUGAAAUCUUAUGGCUUAACCAUAGAACUGCAUUUGAAACUGUUAUUCUAGAGUAUGGGAGAGGUAGGUGGAAUGCUUGGUGUAGGGGUAAAAUCCAUAGAGAUCAAGAGGAAUACUCAUUGCGAAGGCGACCUGCCAGAACAUAACUGACGUUGAUGCGCGAAAGCGUGGGGAGCAAACAGGAUUAGAUACCCGAGUAGUC
RNAcentral lists this ribosomal RNA (440 nucleotides) under uncultured bacterium. RNAcentral describes it as "partial 16S ribosomal RNA". It matches the Rfam family "Bacterial small subunit ribosomal RNA", at positions 338 to 795 of the family's 1533-position model. The record is from RNAcentral.